UCGGGAAUUUUGGGCAAUGGGGGAAACCCUGACCCAGCAACGCCGCGUGAAGGAUGAAGUAUUUCGGUAUGUAAACUUCGAAAGAAUAGGAAGAAUAAAUGACGGUACUAUUUAUAAGGUCCGGCUAACUACGUGCCAGCAGCCGCGGUAAUACGUAGGGACCAAGCGUUGUUCGGAUUUACUGGGCGUAAAGGGCGCGUAGGCGGCAUGACAAGUCACUUGUGAAAUCUCUGGGCUUAACCCAGAACGGCCAAGUGAUACUGUCGCGCUAGAGUGCAGAAGGGGCAAUCGGAAUUCUUGGUGUAGCGGUGAAAUGCGUAGAUAUCAAGAGGAACACCUGAGGUGAAGACGGGUUGCUGGGCUGACACUGACGCUCAUGCACGAAAGCGUGGGGAGCAAACAGGAUUAGAUACCCCCGUAGUCCCUGAGCGGGCUGGCAAGGCGCAU
This 447-nucleotide ribosomal RNA is filed under the name uncultured bacterium. RNAcentral describes it as "bacterial SSU rRNA". It matches the Rfam family "Bacterial small subunit ribosomal RNA", at positions 355 to 825 of the family's 1533-position model. The record is from RNAcentral.